Molecule: ribosomal RNA, 294 nt
Filed under: uncultured bacterium
Lineage: Bacteria
Description: partial 16S ribosomal RNA
Rfam family: Bacterial small subunit ribosomal RNA
Source: RNAcentral
GGAUUAGAUACCCUGGUAGUCCACGCCCUAAACGAUGUCAACUAGCCGUUGGGUUCAUUUAAGGACUUAGUGGCGCAGCUAACGCGAUAAGUUGACCGCCUGGGGAGUACGGUCGCAAGAUUAAAACUCAAAGGAAUUGACGGGGGCCCGCACAAGCGGUGGAGCAUGUGGUUUAAUUCGAUGCAACGCGAAGAACCUUACCAGGCCUUGACAUCCAGAGAACUUUCGAGAGAUCGAUUGGUGCCUUCGGGAACUCUGUGACAGGUGCUGCAUGGCUGUCGUCAGCUCGUGCCG